Molecule: long non-coding RNA, 362 nt
Organism: Brienomyrus brachyistius
Lineage: Eukaryota; Metazoa; Chordata; Actinopteri; Osteoglossiformes; Mormyridae
Exons: 3
Source: RefSeq, a predicted model, not a curated record
CUUUUUGGAGAAAGCAUGGCCAGGGAGCACAUGGGGAACAAGGCCGGAGUGAUCCGCACGGAGUAAAUCCUGGGGCUUUCGUGUAAGCCAUUCUGAAGGGAGCGGACCAUACGUGGAAAGACGCGCGAUACUGAAAUACCCCAGCCUUGCCUACCCCCUUUUCACUACCGACGCCGAUCGCCCGACCCACGCCUGGCUCACCAACUCUGAUUUCUACCUUCGCCCUCUGGACUCCGUUGCUGAUCGUUGCUGUGCCUUCAGCCACCUUUCCUGUCUCCGGGUCCGCAGAGUUUAUUAGGAAGCAUCAUUCUAUGCUGGUUAUUUUCUCACAGCUCAUUCUGCAAUAAAACCACUUACCUGAA